UGGAUGAUCUCUUUUCGAGUUCAAACGAUGUUAUUGGACCACCUGGAUGACCUGGCACAGUUUUGCCAGUCGUUUGGUCUAAAGUUCUAGAUUAGGGAAGUAUACGCAUACGCCAUUUUGGUUCGACACAACGGAUGUAAACAACAUCAGAGCGUAUGUAUGUAUACAAUCUUACGAGUAAAAAAUGCAAUUUUUUCGAUUGUUCGCGGGUUCAGGUGAAUUUUUAAGUAGUUUCAAGCUAAAGACAAUGAAAUUUCCUAUCGAUUGAUGUUAAAUUUUUGUUAUUUCGCGAAAAAUUGACGAUUUUAUGAAUACUUCUAUUACCCGAUUUUUUCAUACUAUAUGUGUCAAUUUUAAACUAAAAAUACUCAAAAUCUUCAGUGAACACACAGGUAUUUUAAUAUAUCAAAAUGUUCGUAAUUUCAUCGUCUUUAAAAUGGGCGUUUAUCGAAAGCUUUACAUGCAACCGUUCAAAAGUUGUAGAAGUUUAAAGUUGCGAAAACAAUGCAAAAACCAACCGCGGAUGGUAAGUAUUGAACUUUGAACUAGAAUUACUCAAAAUUUUCAACGAACACAUAGGUAUAUUAAUACAGCAAAACGUUCGUUAUUUUAUCCUUUUUAAAAUGGGUCUUUACCGAAAGCUCUACCUUCUACCGUUCAAAAAUUCUUGAAGAUCAAAGUUGCGGAAAGUGUUCAAAUUGUGUUAUCACUGUUAUCAGUCACUUAGUGUUGAUUGUAGAACAUUUUCCGCAACUUUGAUCUUCAAGAAUUUUUGAACGGUAGAAGGUAGAGCUUUCGGUAAAGACCCAUUUUAAAAAAGAUAAAAUAACGAACGUUUUGCUGUAUUAAUAUACCUAUGUGUUCGUUGAAAAUUUUGAGUAAUUCUAGUUCAAAGUUCAAUACUUACCAUCCGCGGUUGGUUUUUGCAUUGUUUUCGCAACUUUAAACUUCUACAACUUUUGAACGGUUGCAUGUAGAGCUUUCGAUAAACACUCAUUUUAAAGACGAAGAAAUUACGAACAUUUUGCUAUAUUAAAAUACCUGUGUGUUCACUGAAGAUUUCGAGUAUUUUUAGUUUAAAGUUGACACAUAUAGUAUGAAAAAAUCGGAUAAUAUAAGUAUUCAGAAAAUCGUCAAUUUUGCGCGAAAUAACAAAAAUUUAACAUCAAUCGAUAGGAAAUUUCAUUGUCUUUAGCUGGAAACUACUUAAAAAUUCACCCGAACCCGCGAACAAUCGAAAAAAUUGCAUUUUUUACACCUAAGAUUGUAUGCGUACAUACGUUCUAAUGUUGUUUACAUCCGUUGUGUCGAACCAAAAUGGCGUAUGCGUAUACUUCCCUAAUCUAGAACUUUAGUUUGGUCGUGUCGCAGGUUUGCUUGUUUGCGAGCAAAAUUUUACCAUUUCCAAAUUUCAUUUCUUUCUAUUUUCAUUUCUGCUUGUUGACUUGCCCGUCGCUCAGAAACAGAAAUCACCGGAGGCCGAAGCCACCAGGAGUUGCUGCUCAAAAAUGUACACGGAAAAUUUUUCCAUUCAAGAAGAAAAAUAUCGUCUAUCAAUUCACUCACUGUUUUCUUUACCACCAGCCAGUUCACAAUUUCACAUAGCGAUAAUCAAAUCAAAGCUCUACAGUCUACAGCGCCAAUAUAAUAUCCACAUCUCAGUUCUCUAGAUGACAUGAAUAGAAUAACUCCUGAUUUUUCCUUUCUCAGCGAGACCAAGCAACGUUCAAAAUAUGCAUCUUAUUAUACAAUCCUCGAAGUCGAAACCUCGAUCGCUUGAUAACUGUAGUUUUUGUACAUUCGUUUUUGAAAACCCUUCAAAUAUGUCGGUCGUCUCCAUUCUAAACUUUUGUCUGCUUAUCAUUUUUUUAAAAAAUUUCUUAAGCGAAAAAAAUGAAUACAAUUUUAUACAACAUUAAAAAAGCUAAAUAGGAAAACUAUUCACCAAAUUUCGAUACAUGCAGAUAUAAUCCGUUAGUAAUUACAUACCCACUAAUCAACAAAUAUGAAGGAAAAACAUAAAUAACAAGUCAAAAUUAUAUUUCAAAUAAUUACGAAAAAACCAUAAAAUUCGCAACAUUCAGUUUCUCUCAGUUUUAAUUAACAUUGUUCGACCAUCUUAAAUUAAUUUUAAAAAAUUGCUUAUUAAUGUUUUAAAUUCGAAUAAACAAUUCGAAUCAUAAACUUAUUUACACAGAACAAAAAAAAAAAACAAA
Molecule: long non-coding RNA, 2216 nt
Organism: Planococcus citri (citrus mealybug)
Lineage: Eukaryota; Metazoa; Arthropoda; Insecta; Hemiptera; Pseudococcidae
Exons: 2
Source: RefSeq, a predicted model, not a curated record